GACGAACGCUGGCGGCGUGCUUAACACAUGCAAGUCGAACGGAAAGGCCCUGCUUUUGUGGGGUGCUCGAGUGGCGAACGGGUGAGUAACACGUGAGUAACCUGCCCUUGACUUUGGGAUAACUUCAGGAAACUGGGGCUAAUACCGGAUAGGAGCUCCUGCUGCAUGGUGGGGGUUGGAAAGUUUCGGCGGUUGGGGAUGGACUCGCGGCUUAUCAGCUUGUUGGUGGGGUAGUGGCUUACCAAGGCUUUGACGGGUAGCCGGCCUGAGAGGGUGACCGGACACAUUGGGACUGAGAUGAGGAGCAGAGUCCUACGGGAGGCAGCAGGGGGGAAGAUGGCAAAAUGGGCGGAAGCCUGAGGCAGCAACGCCGCGUGCGGGAGGACGGCCGUCGGGUUGGAAACCGCUUGCGCCUGGGACGAAGCGUGAGUGACGGGAAUGGGUAAAGAAGCAACGGCUAACUACGUG
Molecule: ribosomal RNA, 468 nt
Filed under: uncultured bacterium
Lineage: Bacteria
Description: partial 16S ribosomal RNA
Rfam family: Bacterial small subunit ribosomal RNA
Source: RNAcentral